GCAAGUCGAGGGGCAGCGGGGAUAAGCUUGCUUAUCCGCCGGCGACCGGCGCACGGGUGCGCAACGCGUAUAGAAUCUGCCUUGUACUGGGGAAUAGCCCAGAGAAAUUUGGAUUAAUGCCCCAUGGUAUGUAAUUGUGGCAUCACAUUUACAUUAAAGGUCACGGUACAAGAUGACUAUGCGUCCCAUUAGUUAGUUGGUAAGGUAACGGCUUACCAAGGCAGCGAUGGGUAGGGGCCCUGAGAGGGGGAUCCCCCACACUGGUACUGAGACACGGACCAGACUCCUACGGGAGGCAGCAGUGAGGAAUAUUGGACAAUGGGCGGGAGCCUGAUCCACCCAUGCCGCGUGCACGAAGACGGUCCUAUGGAUUGUAAACUGCUUUUGUACUGGAAGAAUAAGGACUACGUGUAGUCUGUUGACGGUACCGUAAGAAUAAGGAUCGGCUAACUCCGUGCCAGCAGCCGCGGUAAUACGGAGGAUCCGAGCGUUAUCCGGAAUCAUUGGGUUUAAAGGGUCCGUAGGCGGGCCAUUAAGUCAGGUGUGAAAGUCUGCGUCUCAACCCUAGAAUUGCCCUUGAUACUGGUGGUCUUGAGUUAUGGUGAAGUGGCCGGAAUAUGUAGUGUAGCG
This 630-nucleotide ribosomal RNA is filed under the name Arenibacter aquaticus. RNAcentral describes it as "16S ribosomal RNA". It matches the Rfam family "Bacterial small subunit ribosomal RNA", at positions 57 to 680 of the family's 1533-position model. The record is from RNAcentral. Lineage: Bacteria; Pseudomonadati; Bacteroidota; Flavobacteriia; Flavobacteriales; Flavobacteriaceae.